UUUUUUUUUUUUUUUUUUUGUCAUUUCUUGGGCUGCUCUCAUGGCAUAUGGAGGUUCCCAGGCUAGGGGUCAAAUCGGAGCUACAGCUGCCGGCCUACGCCACAGCCACAGCAAUGCCAGAUCCGAGCCUUGUCUGCUCCUUACACCACAGCUCAUGGCAACAGAGGCCAGGGAUUGAACGCACAUCCUAAUGGAUCCUAGUUGGAUUCAUUUCUGCUGUGCCACGAUGGGAACUCCCCUUCCUUUGUAUUUUAAAGAACAGUGUCUAAAGUAGGUCCCAUCCUUUUGUUAUUCUCAACCACAGUUCCAACGGUUGAGUGUCUCCUGGGAUAUGCAUGCUCUGUUCCAUUUCUUUCUUUUUUUAAACAGACCCAGAGUCCCAGAAGAAGUUAGAUGUUGUGCUUACAAACUGCAUACACAUGGGCAUCAUGGAAGUGCAAAACUCCAAUAAAGAAAUAAGCACAUGGUUUCUUAGUUCAUUUUUUAUGUUAAUGAUGAAAGUGCAGGUAAGAAAAUAAGAACUAGCCUUAAGGACAUAUAAGUGAUGGAAAGAGAAGGAAAAUUCUAGGUGGAGCCCAGAGAAGUUAUCAUUCUCUUCCUAUCAACAUUGGGUGGAUGUGCAGGCCCCUUGCUUUAUAGCAGCAGAACAAAAUAAAAUGACUGAUGAUCAAAGAAACUCACAGAUGCCUACAGAAUUAAAUUAUCAACCCACUUUGACAUUUUGCAAGUAUAAAUAGAAACAGAAAUAACUAGAGGUGUAGAAAUAGUUGAAGAAGCCCCUCAACAUUAAAUUCUAAACUUCAAAUUUGAAACACCUAGAGAUUGGGGUUUCUCUGUAAUCUAUAAAUCAGCCUUGAUUCAAAGAAAUAGCCAGGCUGGCAUGGGGGAGCAACUUUAGAUCUGGCCAGCACAGGACCUGGGGAGGCUCAGUAGAGACCCACUAUCUGUUAAUAAGGAAGAAGACCCAAAACAGAGCCAGGACAAAUAAUUCUGUCAUUUUAAUGUCAAAAGUGUCCAACCAUUCUUUAUUGUGAAAAGGAUACAUAAUUAAGCUGUAUCUUUAUAUUAUUAUUUUUUUUUUACUAUUUGGCAUAUUAUUCAUUCCCAGUGAUGUUUCAUUUCUCCUCAAAUGAUUCUUUUGCAACCUUUAGAAAGCCCUGCAAUUUCCUUUUCAUUUGGCCGAACGUGGCAGACACAGGAGGGAGAGCUUCUAAAUCCUGUUGCUCAGAAUAUGGCUUUUUUUUUUUUUUUUUUUUUGUCUUUUCAGGGUCGCACCCACUGCAAAUGGAGGUUCCCAGGCUAGGGGUCUAAUCGAAGCUACAGCUGCCAGCCUACACCAGAGCCACAGCAACGCCAGAUCUGAGCCACGUCUGUGACCUAUAGCACAGCUCAUGGCAAUGCCUGAUCCUUAACCCACUGAGUAAGGCCAGGAAUCGAACUCAAAACCUCGUGGUUCCUCGUGGUUUCUGCUGCGCCACAACGGGAACUCCCAGAAUAUGUUUAAAAAAAAAAAAAAAAGCAGGACCCCAGACAGGUGUGUAACUGUUUGAAUGGGCUAUCUCUUAUACAACUAGGAAUAAGACCUACUUGGAAGAAGUUUUGCUCUAGAAACUGUUGAUGCUCUUGACUUAUUGAGGGGAGUUCCAUAAAAUGGCCAUUACCAACUGUAUAAGACAAAACUCGUGUUAGCUCAAAGGUUAGUCCCUGUUUUAAAAUCCCAAAAAAGAUAAACCCUAUUAUGGGCCAUUUCCACUUUCCCCACUGCUUCCCUGACAAGAGGUAAUGUGGGUCUGAGGAGGAAACUGAAGAUUCAUGGCCCAAAUAGAGCAGAAGUCUUGUCUUGUGUAACUGCCCAAAUGCUAAUACAAACUCAUUGUUGCUCAAUUUGUUCUUUAAAAGCUGUGCUUUAUUCUAUUAACUUUGAUUUGCCCUCUUAGCUUCUGUCAUUUUUCCAUACUGGACUGUCCUGGCAAUCCUCCUCACCUUUCUGUCUGGGUUUCAGUCUCUGACAGGGGCUCUGUGCCUAGGUCUCCCUGCCAGCAUCCAUAGCCCAUCGGUAACUAACAGUCAUCUUAGCCUUGUCCAGUGGUGAUAGCUUCACCCGUAGAUUUAACUGAGACAAAACUGAACAACUUACCAUAAAUAUCGGAGUCAAGAAAAAAUUAUUAGGAGACUAGGCGUACAUAAGUUUAGAUAAAAACAGAGAAGGCAGGACGACAGUGUGGUCCAAGUAAUUUUCUCUGUGCAAAGAUGCCUUCUAUUUAGUAUAACUAAACACAUUACUUCUGGGGAAAAAAAAAAACAACAACAAAAAUUCACACUCCAAAAAAGGGAGAAAAACUAGUAUUGAGAGCAAUUAUGAGUAUGACUUAAAAUGUCACUUUUUAUCUGUUGUACAGGAGAGUAAAUAUCAUGAAAACUUAACCAUGAUAAGGAAAAAAAAAACACUUAACCAUGAUGAAAUAUUUGUCAAACAGUAUUUGUUCCUAUAUUAAGAAAUUAAUACCCACAUGCACAACUUUGAGUUGAUAGAAACUAAAAACUUAAGGUAAUAGAAUUAAGGAUUUCAUUUUCCUUUUUAGAGUUUUAUAUAUUUUUCAAAUUUUUUGGAAAGGCGUUUUGGAAAUAGAAAAAAAAAAAA
This 2641-nucleotide long non-coding RNA is filed under the name Sus scrofa (pig). RNAcentral describes it as "lncRNA (ENSSSCG00065005029.1)". The record is from RNAcentral. Lineage: Eukaryota; Metazoa; Chordata; Mammalia; Artiodactyla; Suidae.